GAGGGGACGAGGGCCGGAGCCCCAAACGUCCGGGGGGGAGAGGGCGCCUCGGCCCACAAAGGGACCCCCCCUCCCCCAAUUCACGGGGACACAUCCGGACAAAACGGACGCCGCGGAGGACAAAGGGAGAGGCCGUCUCUGCCCUAGGAAGAGACAGAAGGAGAGGAGAGAGAAACAAAGGGAGGAGCAGGACCCAGCGCAGGGACGGGCGAGGAGAGAGGCCGAGGAACAGCAGGAAGGCCAAAGCGUGGCCGGAGGUGAACACCCAGAGUGAGGCAGAAAGACAGAGGCACCGGGAGAGGCCAAAGAUGGGGCGGAGAGCCGCGGCUAGAAAGAGAGACGUCAUCCACUGUCCCUCCCGGCCCAGGACCGUCGGGGGGUAGGCCGACAUCCCAGGUCUCGCCACCCCCGGAGGAGGUUGUGGGAGUCACCUCCUCUAUAGGCCCUACCUGCCAUUUGGCUUUGGCAAAAUUCUUCUGGAUCUGGGCGCACACACCCUCCCGCAGGUUCUUCUCGGCCGCCAUGUUCCCCGAGAUCCUGGGGGAAGACGAAGGGGGGCAUCUUUCAAGACCGGCCCGGCUCUCGCGACCGUCUCGUCCUGGCCCUCCCGUCCAUCUGGUCAUCCCUGCGGGCGCUUCCCCCACCACCCGCCCCCAAUCUCCUCCAGGCCCCUCCGGGCUUCCCCACCAGACAUGGCCGAGCGCUUCCUGGGCCGUGAUGCGUUGGUCCUGAUCGAUCUCCAUGAGCCUCAUCACCAGCUUCUUAGCUGCGGAUCUUGCGGAAGAUGGUGCGGUUGCUGUUGCCGUCGUCGCCGCCCUCCUCCUCCUGCUCGUCGUAGAAAGGAGGAUUCCCAGACAGCCUGCG
Ornithorhynchus anatinus (platypus) is the source of this 864-nucleotide long non-coding RNA. RefSeq lists it as uncharacterized. Lineage: Eukaryota; Metazoa; Chordata; Mammalia; Monotremata; Ornithorhynchidae. The record is from RefSeq and is a predicted model, not a curated record. The transcript is spliced from 3 exons.